RNAcentral lists this ribosomal RNA (253 nucleotides) under uncultured bacterium. Its description in RNAcentral is "partial 16S ribosomal RNA". It matches the Rfam family "Bacterial small subunit ribosomal RNA", at positions 524 to 776 of the family's 1533-position model. The record is from RNAcentral.
UACAGAGGUGGCAAGCGUUGUUCGGAAUUACUGGGCGUAAAGAGCGUGUAGGCGGCUAGGUAGGUCCGUUGUGAAAACUCGAGGCUCAACCUCGAGACGCCGAUGGAAACCAUCUGGCUAGAGUCCGGAAGAGGAGAGUGGAAUUCCUGGUGUAGCGGUGAAAUGCGCAGAUAUCAGGAAGAACACCCGUGGCUAAGGCGGCUCUCUAGUACGGUACUGACGCUGAGACGCGAAAGCGUGGGGAGCGAACAGG